CGCGCAGGCGGUCGUAUAAGUCGAAUGUGAAAGCCCCCGGCUCAACUGGGGGAGGGUCAUUCGAUACUGUUCGACUCGAAGGCAGGAGAGGGAAGUGGAAUUCCGGGUGUAGUGGUGAAAUGCGUAGAUAUCCGGAGGAACACCAGUGGCGAAGGCGACUUUCUGGCCUGUUCUUGACGCUGAGGCGCGAAAGCUAGGGGAGGCAAACG
This 209-nucleotide ribosomal RNA is filed under the name uncultured bacterium. RNAcentral describes it as "partial 16S ribosomal RNA". It matches the Rfam family "Bacterial small subunit ribosomal RNA", at positions 568 to 775 of the family's 1533-position model. The record is from RNAcentral.